CAGCAUCCGGUAGCAGACGAGUAAAAGUAGUCGCGUGGUUGGUUUCUUGUUUUAGAUUGGCUUUUUGUUUCAACACAUACCACAUUCUGGAAAUGGUUAAUACCA
Molecule: long non-coding RNA, 105 nt
Organism: Daphnia pulicaria
Lineage: Eukaryota; Metazoa; Arthropoda; Branchiopoda; Diplostraca; Daphniidae
Exons: 3
Source: RefSeq, a predicted model, not a curated record